UAAUACUACGGGAGGCAGCAGUGGGGAAUAUUGCACAAUGGGGGAAACCCUGAUGCAGCGACGCCGCGUGAGUGAAGAAGUAUUUCGGUAUGUAAAGCUCUAUCAGCGGGGAAGAAAAUGACGGUACCUGACCAAGAAGCCCCGGCUAACUACGUGCCAGCAGCCGCGGUAAUACGUAGGGGGCAAGCGCUAUCCGGAUUUACUGGGUGUAAAGGGGGCGCAGACGGCAAUGCAAGCCAGGAGUGAAAGCCCGGGGCCCAACCCCGGGACUGCUCUUGGAACUGCAUGGCUGGAGUACAGGAGGG
This 305-nucleotide ribosomal RNA is filed under the name uncultured bacterium. Its description in RNAcentral is "bacterial SSU rRNA". It matches the Rfam family "Bacterial small subunit ribosomal RNA", at positions 334 to 656 of the family's 1533-position model. The record is from RNAcentral.